GUAGUCAAGGUGGUGCUCCUGUUUCAUUC
RNAcentral lists this non-coding RNA (29 nucleotides) under Mus musculus (house mouse). Lineage: Eukaryota; Metazoa; Chordata; Mammalia; Rodentia; Muridae. The record is from RNAcentral.